RNAcentral lists this ribosomal RNA (429 nucleotides) under Chloroflexota bacterium. RNAcentral's name for it is "Chloroflexi bacterium partial 16S ribosomal RNA". It matches the Rfam family "Bacterial small subunit ribosomal RNA", at positions 355 to 776 of the family's 1533-position model. Lineage: Bacteria; Bacillati; Chloroflexota. The record is from RNAcentral.
UGGGGGAUAUUGCACAAUGGGCGCAAGCCUGAUGCAGCCAUGCCGCGUGUGUGAAGAAGGCCUUCGGGUUGUAAAGCACUUUCAGCGGGGAGGAAGGCGAUAAGGUUAAUAACCUUGUCGAUUGACGUUACCCGCAGAAGAAGCACCGGCUAACUCCGUGCCAGCAGCCGCGGUAAUACGGAGGGUGCAAGCGUUAAUCGGAAUUACUGGGCGUAAAGCGCACGCAGGCGGUCUGUCAAGUCGGAUGUGAAAUCCCCGGGCUUAACCUGGGAACUGCAUUCGAAACUGGCAGGCUAGAGUCUUGUAGAGGGGGGUAGAAUUCCAGGUGUAGCGGUGAAAUGCGUAGAGAUCUGGGGGAAUACCGGUGGCGAAGGCGGCCCCCUGGACAAAGACUGACGCUCAGGUGCGAAAGCGUGGGGAGCAAACAGG